GGCUUUAUAUUUAAUAUAUAAUUUUAGAUUGCAAAUUUAAAGUAGUAAUUUGUUUACUAAGGCUU
This 65-nucleotide transfer RNA is filed under the name Megaxyela euchroma. RNAcentral describes it as "tRNA-Cys". The record is from RNAcentral. Lineage: Eukaryota; Metazoa; Arthropoda; Insecta; Hymenoptera; Xyelidae.